AAUGAUGUAUACCUAAAAUUUAUAUAAUGUUAUAAACCAAUGUUACCUCAAUAAAAAAUAAAGUUUAAAAAGAUAUUAGCUACCAAAACUUUACAGCUAACAUCAUACUUAAUGAUGUAACUUUAAAGGAUGUUUCCUAGUUGCUUGGCAAUGAGGGACAAGUGUAUGUUGUCCCUGUUUCUGCUAAACACUCUGCUGGAGGUCUUAACCAGCAUAGUAUGGCAAUAAUAAAAAGUAGAAGGUUGAAAAAUUGGAAAUGAAGAAACUAAAUUGUCAUUAUCUGCAGAUGAUGUGAUUGCCAUGUGGAAAGACAGGAGAAUCCACAGACAACCGUGUAGAAUAGUAAGAGAGUCCAGUAGGAUUUCCAGAAACUUGGUCAAUAUGCAACUUCAGUUGAGUGUCAGGCACCAGCAAUAAUCAGAAUAUUUUUGAAAAGUGCUCUGUUCACAAUAAAAAUUAUAAGAGAAUUUGAAAGAUUUAAAACACUUUAUUGCAAUAUCUUUGAGAUGGCCAAAAUAAAGGAAAAGGUAGAUUGGUUAUUAAGUGUGAAGGCUCAGAAUCACAAAAAUAACCAUUCACCUCCAAUAAAUAAGUCUUUUAAGUACCAAGAGGCAGACAGAAAUUACUGAACAUGCAAGAACUGAGGGACUAUAAUUCUCCGAACUUCUUGAAGGAAUUACUGAAACAGGAAUUUUACCCGUGAGAGAUAAACUGAUGAACAAUGGCCAAAGAACUGAGAGUAGGCAAUGAAUCCAUUUAACCAUAGAUAUAAGCCUUUAGUAGAUUGUGGUAAUUUUAGUUACAGAGCCUAAUGUAAGUGCUAAAAACAGUGACACUCCAGAAAUGAUAAAACUGAAAAAAUUGGGAGAGAAAUGGGGAAAAAAGGUUAUAUUGAUCUCAUCAUUUUAGUCUAGGGAGGGAGGUAAAUAUCUAAAUUGACUUAUCAAAAAAUAGAAGAAUAAGGAUACAUAAAGUAUAAAAAGAAACAUCAAGAUAACUCUAUGGUUAACCCUGGGCAGUGGAAGGAAAGAAAGAGGAAGUGGAACUAUACGAAUGCAUCAUUAUUCAUAGUAGGGACUCAAGAAUUAGGGUAGAAGCACCUUCAGAAAUGGCAAAUGGAGUCACUUUUGUUGACCAUGCUGCCCCAGGACUGUUGCAGAAGACAAAUUUAAGAAUGGCCUGAGGUGAGUGGGACUGGUGGGAAUGCCCAAGGAGUCCUGCAAGAAUCUGAGUGUAGUGUUGUGUCUGAGCUUUCCCGAUAUUUAGAUGACCCAGCACCCCAAGCAGAGGUCGUGUCCUCAACAACAAAACACCGGGGCUCAGAGUCUAGCACGAACAUGACAGCUCUCAUCACUGUGACCCUGAGUGGGAACAGGACUUGGAGAUGAGUAUCCACUUUGCAGACCCUGGUGGGACUAUCCCAGCACAGCACUGAGAAUGCCCUGUGCAUUCCACACUCCCUUAGAAACGCAGAGUUCACUGCUCUGGGCUCAGGAAAGUUUUGCUCUCAGCUGCACUUGCUGUUAAUUAGUUCAUGUCCUAAUAAUCCCCAGAUACUACUGAUGCUGACUUGUCUUGGGACUAAGAUUUACAGCUUCUCUGCAGAUGCAUCACGGUCCCUUUGUAGAAAGUGUCAGUGCCUUGCAGGUGACAAGGUAAUUGCAGCUCGGGGGGGAGAUGAACUCGGAGAAUCUCAAGACACAACUGCUUUGGCUCUACAUGCCACAUAUUUACUGAUGGCCACAGUUCUGCUGCCAAAUCCAGGAACAGAGAUCAACCCUGCACAGGUUAUAGUGCACGUUUCUUUGUGAGCCUGGAGCAGAGCUGCGAUUUGAUGGAUCAGAGCCAGGUGUCACCUUUCCAGAAGGAAACACUGAUUCACCCAGCCCCGGUUCGAUCUGUGACCAGUUGUGUUAUUCUCUUUCUGGUUCUAGAGUCUCUGACUCUGGCAGUACCCUCAUUGUUGGAGAAAAGGAAGGCGGUCAUGUUGACUAAGGUCAGCGUGAGAGGGUUUUUCUGUGGGAACUCAGUAAUACUGUCUUUAGGUCUCACAGCUCUUUAUGGAGCCAGCACUGUUACUCUACAGAAAAGUCUCUUCAUGAGGGCAAGCAAGUGGGUCUUGCUACAAUUUUUACUGAAAGAGAAACAUUAGAAGGAAGGCAUAAAUAGAUCACAAAAUGCAUAGAUAUUGGUGGUAAUCAAACUGAUUGGCAGGUAGAUCUAACUACUCCUAGACUCCAACUGGAUCUUUGACCUCCAUUCGUCAGGCCCAGCAGCUUUAUGCACUUUGUGGGGCACACUUUCCUCUUAGUCAGUAUGUGAGUCUCUCGUGAUAUGCAAACAGUACUCUUUUAUACGUUGUUGUAAGAUCUUAUUCUUAUAUAUGACUUUCUUUGUUCCCUGGUAUACCAUAUUCACAUUAAAAUGGAAAAAGCAGGAUCUUGGAGGUAUUUGUUACUUAUUGAUUGUUUUUUAAAAACAUUCUUGUUUGUUGGUAAAGAUGGCAUUAAAUUCACCUGCAGGGUUAUUUUAA
Long non-coding RNA from Equus caballus (horse), 2533 nucleotides. RefSeq lists it as uncharacterized. NCBI's taxonomy places the organism in Eukaryota, Metazoa, Chordata, Mammalia, Perissodactyla, Equidae. The record is from RefSeq and is a predicted model, not a curated record.